GAGACUCUGGAACCCCUGUGCUCUUCUCCUCAUCUAGUGACCCUGAGGUGAUGGAGUUUUCAAGUCCUUCCAGAGAGGAAUGUCCCAAGCCUUCGGGUAGGGUAAGCAUCAUGGCUGGCAGCCUCACAGGAUUGCUUCUACUUCAGGCAGUGUCGUGGGCAUCAGAUGAGUGAGUCAAGGCAGUGGGGAGGUAGCACAGAGCCUCCCUUCUGCCUCAUAGUCCUUUGGUAGCCUUCCAGUAAGCUGGUGGUAGACUUUUAGUAGGUGCUCAAUAAAUCCUUUUGAGUGACUGAGACCAACUUUGGGGUGAGGAUUUUUGAAACCGUCUUCAGUCUCUCCAAACAGCUGUGUCCGUUCUCCACAUCCUUGUCAGACCUCACCUCUGCUUGUGCUCCCUCCCUCCCAGGUGGUGCCCCUGCAUCCCUAAAAGCUUCAGUACAGCUCGGUGGUCUGUGUCUGCAAUGCCACAUACUGUGACUCUUGACCCCCCGACCUUUCCUGCCCUAGGUGCCUUCAGCCGCUACAAGAGCAGAAGCAGUGGGCAUUGGAUGGAGCUGAGUACAGGACCAUACAGGCUAAUUGCACCGGCACAGGUAACCAUUACACCCUUCACCCCCCGGGCCAGGCUGGGUCCUCCUAGAGGUAAACGGUGUCAGUGAUCACCAUGGAGUUUCUCCCCUGGGCACUGAUAACCCUGUGGAUGUCCUCAGGCCUGCUACUGAUCCUGCAGCCAGAAGUUCCAGAAAGUGAAGGGAUUUGGAGGGGCCGUGACAGAUGCAGGUGCCCUCAACAUCCUUGCCCUGUCACCCCCUGCCCAGAAUUUGCUACUUAAAUGGUACUUCUCUGAAGAAGAUGAGGAGGAAGGGGACAGGAUGACAUAGAGCCACUGACACUUUUCUUUGCCAAUUCUUUGGACCCUGACUUCUGCCCAUCCCUGACAUUUGGUUCCUGUCUUAAUGCCAGUGAAAUAAGAUUUCGCCGCCUAUCAUCUGCUAACUGCUACGGACUCAGGCUCAGAAAGGCCUGCGCUUCACCCAGGAAUCGGAUAUAACAUCAUCUGGGUACCCAUGGCCAGCUGUGACUUCUCCAUCCGCACCUACACCUAUGCAGACACCCCUGAUGAUUUCCAGUUGCACAACUUCAGCCUCCCAGAGGAAGAUACCAAGCUCAAGAUACCCCUGAUUCACCGAGCCCUGCAGUUGGCCCAGCGUCCCGUUUCACUCCUUGCCAGCCCCUGGACAUCACCCACUCGGCUCAAGACCAGGGGAGCGGGGAAUGGGAAGGGGCCACUCAAGGGACAGCCCAGAGACAUCUACCACCAGACCUGGGCCAGAUACAUUGUGAAGUAAGGGAUCAGCAAGGAUGUGGGAUCAGGACUGGCCUCCCCUUUGGCCAUGCUGAUCUGUGUCCCAACCCUCAACCUGGUUCCACUUCCAGAUCUGCCUGUCCUCAGCUCACCUUUCUACCUUCUGGGCCUUUCAAACUUGGAUCUGUCAGUCUUGCCCACUCCAUCAGGCUUCCUGUUCUCUCGGUCUGGCCCACUUUCUUGGCUGGAUCAUUCAUGACCUUUCUCUUGCCAGGUUCCUGGAUGCCUAUGCUGAGCACAAGUUACAGUUCUGGGCAGUGACAGCUGAAAAUGAGCCUUCUGCUGGGCUGUUGAGUGGAUACCCCUUCCAGUGCCUGGGCUUCACCCCUGAACAUCAGCGAGACUUCAUUGCCCGUGACCUAGGUCCUACCCUUGCCAACGGUACUCACCACAAUGUCCGCCUACUCAUGCUGGAUGACCAACGCUUGCUGCUGCCCCACUGGGCAAAGGUGGUACUGACAGACCCAGAAGCAGCUAAGUAUGUUCAUGGUAUUGCUGUACAUUGGUACCUGGACUUUCUGGCUCCAGCCAAAGCCACCCUAAGGGAGACACACCACCUGUUCCCCAACACCAUGCUCUUUGCCUCAGAGGCCUGUGUGGGUUCCAAGUUCUGGGAGCAGAGUGUGCGGCUAGGCUCCUGGGAUCGAGGGAUGCAGUACAGCCACAGCAUCAUCACAAACCUCCUGUACCAUGUGGUCGGCUGGACCGACUGGAACCCAUCAUUGUAGACAUCACCAAGCACACGUUUUACAAACAGCCCAUGUUCUACCACCUUGGCCACUUCAGCAAGUUCAUUCCUGAGGGCUCCCAGAGAGUGGGGCUGGUUGCCAGUCAGAAGAACGACCCGGACGCAGUGGCACUGAUGCAUCCCGAUGGCUCUGCUGUUGUGGUCGUGCUAAACCGCUCCUCUAAGGAUGUGCCUCUUACCAUCAAGGAUCCUGCUGUGGGCUUCCUGGAGACAAUCUCACCUGGCUACUCCAUUCACACCUACCUGUGGCGUCGCCAGUGAUGGAGCAGAUACUCAAGGAGGCACUGGGCUCAGCCUGGGCAUUAAAGGGACAGAGUCAGCUCACACGCUGUCUGUGACUAAAGAGGGCACAGCAGGGCCAGUGUGAGCUUACAGCGACGUAAGCCCAGGGGCAAUGGUUUGGGUGACUCACUUUCCCCUCUAGGUGGUGCCAGGGGCUGGAGGCCCCUAGAAAAAGAUCAGUAAGCCCCAGUGUCCCCCCAGCCCCCAUGCUUAUGUGAACAUGCGCUGUGUGCUGCUUGCUUUGGAAACUGGGCCUGGGUCCAGGCCUAGGGUGAGCUCACUGUCCGUACAAACACAAGAUCAGGGCUGAGGGUAAGGAAAAGAAGAGACUAGGAAAGCUGGGCCCAAAACUGGAGACUGUUUGUCUUUCCUGGAGAUGCAGAACUGGGCCCGUGGAGCAGCAGUGUCAGCAUCAGGGCGGAAGCCUUAAAGCAGCAGCGGGUGUGCCCAGGCACCCAGAUGAUUCCUAUGGCACCAGCCAGGAAAAAUGGCAGCUCUUAAAGGAGAAAAUGUUUGAGCCCAGUCA
Molecule: long non-coding RNA, 2922 nt
Organism: Homo sapiens (human)
Lineage: Eukaryota; Metazoa; Chordata; Mammalia; Primates; Hominidae
Gene: GBA1LP
Product: glucosylceramidase beta 1 like, pseudogene
Source: Ensembl